GAAAGCCGGGUGAGUUCGAAAGACUCAUGCCCGGUUUGGAGAGGGGGCGUUCGGAAAAGUGCCAUAGCAAAUGGUAACUAGCUGGCGCUCUACUCUAC
Molecule: non-coding RNA, 98 nt
Filed under: Xenorhabdus nematophila str. Anatoliense
Lineage: Bacteria; Pseudomonadati; Pseudomonadota; Gammaproteobacteria; Enterobacterales; Morganellaceae
Source: RNAcentral